Molecule: transfer RNA, 67 nt
Filed under: Cyathocotyle prussica
Lineage: Eukaryota; Metazoa; Platyhelminthes; Trematoda; Diplostomida; Cyathocotylidae
Description: tRNA-Gly
Source: RNAcentral
AUAUUAAUAGUAUAAGGUUGUGAAUAUUCCUUCUUUCCAAGUAGGGGAUCUCUUAGGAGUUAAUAUA